Molecule: long non-coding RNA, 282 nt
Filed under: Coffea arabica (coffee)
Lineage: Eukaryota; Viridiplantae; Streptophyta; Magnoliopsida; Gentianales; Rubiaceae
Description: long non-coding RNA (CARA_LNC005447)
Source: RNAcentral
UUUGAUGCAAUUCCCAGCUCCAAUUGUUCUGUUGCUGCCUUUUUCUUCUUCUCCUGUCUUUUCUUUUUCUUUUUUCCGAUGCCAAGAGAAAAAGCCAGUGGAGACUGAGGACUUGUGUAGCAAAUUUGGAGAACUCCCUUCUUUUCCUCGUCUGAUGCCUUUGGAGAAAACUGAGAGGGAGUCUUUUUCUGCUAGUUUUGUCUUGGAGGAAAAAGAGAGGACCGAGAGCUUUUCCUUGAGCCCAAAAGUGGAGUUUUAUUCUUCUCUUUUUUUUUUUUUUUU